GGGCGCAGUACAUUUUUCCAUCUCCCUCUUUUGGGUGCAUGGAAUGCCACGCAUUUCAGAGAUACUUUUGGCACCUCAGCGGCGAUUAAAUGCACACGCACGAACCAGAUACUCAGAGAGAAAAGCAGAUAGUUUUCCGCUGGCUGAUAACAAACCCACUUUUGAACAAACUUUUACACGAUUUAAAAUGGUUAAUUAUAAAGUGCAUCUGCCGGAUUUAUUGGACAAACGUAUUGUGUAACUAACGAAGUCGAAGGACGGGAACAGCGGUAAGCGGCUUUUGGGGCGACUCUCCCUUUUAAUUGCCAAGUACAAGGACCACACACGCGGUCCGGUCCGCUGAAGAGGCUAGAGAUUAGGGGGCAUUUUAAAUGUAAAUCGACAGCCGGCAGCCCAACGGUCGCACAUCCAUUUGUUGUCACAACAAAGGGGCAAUGAAAAAUGAGGCAACCAACAGGUUGCCAUCGCCUCUAAGACGCGAUAAGAUGACAAUGACCUGACCGCAAAGUGCCCCCAAAAUGCAACCGCAGCAGCAUCCCAAUGGGCCAUAGACCAAUGUGCCCCUUCCCGGGCCCUGGAUUUCCAUCUCCCUUGUUCCGUGUGACACUAAUGUCCUGUAUGGCAUUUGUCGGUGUCGGCAUCUCUCGUUUGUCCACCGCCGCUUAUCGGAUUGCCCCGAAACAAAUGGAAGAUUUUCUGACCCCUUGCCACUCGCCUCAUAAUUUACGAUCAGCCGAGGAAAAGCCUGUAAGUGCUUUCCUCUGAUUGUAAUAACAAUAUUUUGCUUUCGGCUUUCGCCGCAUGAUUAGCUGAAAAGCCGAGAAAACCCGAUCGGCGGCUUGUCAGCUUGUUAAGUCGAAGUGGAUUGCAGAUUGGCUUAGAAACGAAAGCGCGAAAUGCGUUAAUUUUGCGGCCAAUUGACGUGUUCGAUGCUUGGUGGCAAGCCUUUCGGCUAAAUACACUGCAAGAAACAUAUUUUAAAAGUAAAAAUAUCUUUGAAAGGCAACCAAUUUGUAUCUACUUCAAAAAGAUAUUAUAUUAAAAAUAAUUUAUUUAUUUCACAUAA
This is a long non-coding RNA of Drosophila mauritiana, 1066 nucleotides long. RefSeq lists it as uncharacterized. NCBI's taxonomy places the organism in Eukaryota, Metazoa, Arthropoda, Insecta, Diptera, Drosophilidae. The transcript is spliced from 3 exons. The record is from RefSeq and is a predicted model, not a curated record.